RNAcentral lists this ribosomal RNA (377 nucleotides) under uncultured cyanobacterium. Its description in RNAcentral is "bacterial SSU rRNA". It matches the Rfam family "Bacterial small subunit ribosomal RNA", at positions 376 to 770 of the family's 1533-position model. The record is from RNAcentral. Lineage: Bacteria; Bacillati; Cyanobacteriota.
CGAAAGCCUGACGGAGCAACGCCGCGUGAGGGAGGAAGGCUCUUGGGUUGUAAACCUCUUUUCUCAAGGAAGAUAAUGACGGUACUUGAGGAAUCAGCAUCGGCUAACUCCGUGCCAGCAGCCGCGGUAAUACGGAGGAUGCAAGCGUUAUCCGGAAUAAUUGGGCGUAAAGCGUUCGUAGGUGGUGAUGUAAGUCUGCUGUUAAAGCGUGUAGCUUAACUACAUAUAGGCGGUGGAAACUACAUGACUAGAGUGCGUUCGGGGCAGAGGGAAUUCCUGGUGUAGCGGUGAAAUGCGUAGAUACCAGGAAGAACACCGGUGGCGAAGGCGCUCUGCUAGGCCGUAACUGACACUGAGGGACGAAAGCUAGGGGAGCG